AUGGAGAUCGUUACGGCCAGGAGCGGCUAUGACUAUGAGGGCCAGGAGCAGCAGCAGCACCGGGGGCGGCGGCGGCGCAAGCCCAGCGACGGGCACGUCGUGGCGCAGCUGCUCGACUCGCCGCUCCCCACGCCGCGCCGCUCCUGCUGCGGGUCGGCGGCCGGCACGCCGCGCAGCGCGCGCGCCGCGUCGCCACAGCGCACGCACGUGCCCUUCUCGUGGGAGAGCUCGCCGGGCGUGCCCAAGGCCGGCGGCGCGUCCCUGGAGCGCGGCUGGCUGCCCCCGAGGCCGCCCCCGGGGCGCGGCGGCCGGGCGUACCACGGUGGCAACACCACCACCGACGCGACGAGCAGCGACGACGACGACGACACCUUCUCCGACGCGCUCGACAGGAUCUCGUCGUCCGACCGGCUCGCCGCGCUCUCCGCCCGGCUGAGCUCCAUCGACGGCCGCGCCGCGUCGAGGCGCCUGUCCAGCUUCAUCAUGGACCGCUUCCUCCCUGCCGCCAACGCCAUCGCCAGGACGUCCACGGAGAAGCGAGCCAAGAAAUCCCCGCGCCGCGCCGCCCGCCGCUCCGAGCACCACGACGACGAGGAGGACGAGGCGCCGGCCACGGCCAGGCUCGAGACGCACACGCCACGCCGCGAGCGCCACGUCCCCGCUAUCCAGCAGGAGGAGGAGAGCUGGAAUGGCACGCCGCCGCAGGAGAUAGCGUGGCGCCAUGAGGAGGAGGCGCGAGGCGAUGAGACGCCUCCGAGGUCGUGCGGGUUCACGGUGCUCUUCCCCUGGUGCGUCAAGCCGGUGCUGUGCGGGUUCCCGUGGAGCCCGGCGCGGCCGCGGCACCCCCGCGCCUCCCCUCCUCGCCGGAGCACCACGAUGGGCGACGUCCUGGUGAAGGAGCUCGGGCUACGGAACGGCGACCCGUCGCACUGGUACGAGGAGAAGAGCAGCGGCAGUGGCAAGGAGUGGUCGAGUCCCGGCGGGCCCGGGCUGGGCAUGUCGAUCCUUGGCACGAGCAAGAGGUACUGCGCCGACGCCAGGAAGGCCCUGAGCAGACUGGCGCGAUCGGCAGCGGACGGCGGCGGCGGCGGCAGCCCGAGGAUGAGCAGGGAGAGGAGGAGCGGCAAGGCAGCCUCCUCGCCGCUGCACUCGACGUCCGGGCGGAUGCCGCAGCUGCAGCUGCAGGUGAAGCCGCCGUCCGAGUCGUGGCUCUGCCACGCGCGCGGGAGCAAUGCUGUGAAUAGCAAAAGAUGA
This 1254-nucleotide ribosomal RNA is filed under the name Triticum aestivum (bread wheat). RNAcentral describes it as "partial small subunit ribosomal RNA". The record is from RNAcentral. Lineage: Eukaryota; Viridiplantae; Streptophyta; Magnoliopsida; Poales; Poaceae.